Molecule: small nuclear RNA, 170 nt
Filed under: Carassius auratus (goldfish)
Lineage: Eukaryota; Metazoa; Chordata; Actinopteri; Cypriniformes; Cyprinidae
Description: U1 spliceosomal RNA (ENSCARG00000038460.1)
Rfam family: U1 spliceosomal RNA
About the family: U1 is a small nuclear RNA (snRNA) component of the spliceosome (involved in pre-mRNA splicing). Its 5' end forms complementary base pairs with the 5' splice junction, thus defining the 5' donor site of an intron. There are significant differences in sequence and secondary structure between metazoan and yeast U1 snRNAs, the latter being much longer (568 nucleotides as compared to 164 nucleotides in human).
Source: Rfam by way of RNAcentral
AUACUUACCUGGACAGGGGGAGACACCAUGAUCAAGAAGGGCGGUUCACUCCCCAGGGCAGGCUUGUCCAUUGCACUCCGGCCAUGCUGACCCCUGCGAAUUCCCCAAAUGCGGGAAAUCUCGACUGCAUAAUAUUAUGGUAAGUGGGGACGCGUUCGCGCUCUCCCCUG